UAUUGGUCAAUGGGCGAGAGCCUGAACCAGCCAAGUCGCGUGAGGGAGUACUGCCCUAUGGGUUGUAAACCUCUUUUGUCGGGGAGCAAAAGCCGGACGUGUCCGGCUGUGAGAGUACCCGAAGAAACAGCAACGGCUAACUCCGUGCCAGCCGCAGCGGUAAUACGGAGGAUGCGAGCGUUAUCCGGAUUUAUUGGGUUUAGAGGGUGCGCAGGCGGAUUUUGAAGUCAGCGGUCAAAUCGUGGGGCUCAACCCCAUCCAGCCGUUGAAACUGGGGAUCUAGAGUGAGCGAGAGGUAUGCGGAAUGCGUGGUGUAGCGGUGAAAUGCAUAGAUAUCACGCAGAACCCCGAUUGCGAAGGCAGCAUACCGGUGCACAACUGACGCUCAGGCACGAAAGCGUGGGUAUCGAACAGG
RNAcentral lists this ribosomal RNA (415 nucleotides) under uncultured bacterium. Its description in RNAcentral is "bacterial SSU rRNA". It matches the Rfam family "Bacterial small subunit ribosomal RNA", at positions 362 to 776 of the family's 1533-position model. The record is from RNAcentral.